RNAcentral lists this ribosomal RNA (253 nucleotides) under uncultured bacterium. RNAcentral describes it as "partial 16S ribosomal RNA". It matches the Rfam family "Bacterial small subunit ribosomal RNA", at positions 524 to 776 of the family's 1533-position model. The record is from RNAcentral.
UACAGAGGGUGCGAGCGUUGUUCGGAAUUAUUGGGCGUAAAGGGCUCGUAGGCGGUUUGUCGCGUCGGGAGUGAAAACACCGGGCUUAACUCGGUGCUUGCUUUCGAUACGGGCAGACUAGAGGUAUUCAGGGGAGAACGGAAUUCCUGGUGUAGCGGUGAAAUGCGCAGAUAUCAGGAGGAACACCGGUGGCGAAGGCGGUUCUCUGGGAAUAUCCUGACGCUGAGGAGCGAAAGUGUGGGGAGCGAACAGG